Molecule: ribosomal RNA, 761 nt
Filed under: uncultured Halanaerobiales bacterium
Lineage: Bacteria; Bacillati; Bacillota; Clostridia; Halanaerobiales
Description: bacterial SSU rRNA
Rfam family: Bacterial small subunit ribosomal RNA
Source: RNAcentral
AAGUCAGAGGUGAAAGCCAUCGGCUUAACCGAUGAAGUGCCUUUGAAACUGUUAGACUUGAGGAUAGGAGAGGAAAGUGGAAUUCCCGCGUGUAGUGGUGAAAUGCGUAGAGAUCGGGAAGAAUACCAAUGGCGAAAGCAGCUUUCUGGCCUAUUCCUGACGCUGAGGUACGAAAGCUAGGGUAGCAAACGGGAUUAGAUACCCCGGUAGUCCUAGCUGUAAACGCUGGACACUGAGUGUUGGGGGUUAAACUCCCUCAGUGCUGCAGUUAACGCGUUAAGUGUCCCGCCUGGGGACUACGACCGCAAGGUUGAAACUCAAAGGAAUUGACGGGGGCCCGCACAAGCGGCGGAGCAUGUGGUUUAAUUCGAUGCAACGCGAAGAACCUUACCAGGGCUUGACAUCCCGUGACCAUUUGUGAAAACAAAGUUUGGCUCUUUGAGUCACACGGAGACAGGUGGUGCAUGGCUGUCGUCAGCUCGUGUCGUGAGAUGUUGGGUUAAGUCCCGCAACGAGCGUAACCCCUGUCCUUAGUUGCCAGCACGUUAUGGUGGGGACUCUAAGGAGACUGCCGGAGGAGCAAUCCGGAGGAAGGUGGGGAUGACGUCAAGUCAUCAUGCCCCUUAUGUCCUGGGCUACACACGUGCUACAAUGGUCUGUACAGAGAGUGGCGAAGCCGCAAGGUGUAGCUAAUCUCAGAAAGCAGAUCUCAGUUCGGAUUGCAAAUUGCAACCCAUUUGCAUGAAGCUGGAGUCGCUAGU